Molecule: ribosomal RNA, 299 nt
Filed under: uncultured bacterium
Lineage: Bacteria
Description: partial 16S ribosomal RNA
Rfam family: Bacterial small subunit ribosomal RNA
Source: RNAcentral
AAUCAACGCUGGCGGCGUGCCUCAGACAUGCAAGUCGUACGAUUAAAGCUCUCUUCGGAGAGUGUAUAGAGUGGCGUACGGGUGAGUAACACGUAAGUAAUCUACCUUCGAGUGGGGAAUAACAGUCGGAAACGACUGCUAAUACCGCAUAAUGCAGCGGCACCUAAUGGUGACAGUUGUUAAAGCAUUUAUGUGCUUGAAGAGGAGCUUGCGGCAGAUUAGCUAGUUGGUAAGGUAAUGGCUUACCAAGGCGACGAUCUGUAGCCGACCUGAGAGGGUGGUCGGUCACACUGACACUG